Non-coding RNA from Triticum aestivum (bread wheat), 121 nucleotides. The record is from Rfam. Lineage: Eukaryota; Viridiplantae; Streptophyta; Magnoliopsida; Poales; Poaceae.
UUUAUACUCCCUCCGUCCGAAAAUACUUGUCAUUCAAAUGAAUGUAUCUAGAUGUAUUUUAAUUCUAGAUGCAUUCAUUUUCAUUUAUGCAACAAGUAAUUCCGGAUGGAGGGAGUAUAAU